GCAUUGUGAUCUUGUGAUGUCGCAUUCUUUAAGAGGAAAUGAUGUCAUAUGUCACGCCUCUUAUACUCUAUACUGCAUUGUGAUUGGUUCUCAGUUUUGUCACUCUUUUCUUUGCUGCUAUGGAGUUAGUAAAGAAAGAUUAUGCAAAAUACUCGCCUCCUGUCAUUAUUAAAAUUAAAAUUAUCGGUACACUAAAGCUAACAUAAUCUUCAAUUUAU
Molecule: non-coding RNA, 218 nt
Organism: Pelobates cultripes (western spadefoot toad)
Lineage: Eukaryota; Metazoa; Chordata; Amphibia; Anura; Pelobatidae
Source: the annotation of a GenBank genome assembly